Molecule: ribosomal RNA, 464 nt
Filed under: uncultured bacterium
Lineage: Bacteria
Description: partial 16S ribosomal RNA
Rfam family: Bacterial small subunit ribosomal RNA
Source: RNAcentral
CUACGGGGCGCUGCAGUGGGGAAUAUUGGACAAUGGGGGAAACCCUGAUCCAGCAAUGCCGCGUGUGUGAAGAAGGCCUGCGGGUUGUAAAGCACUUUCGGUUGGGAGGACUGCUUCUAGCACUAAUAUUGUUGGAAGUUGACGUUACCUUCAGAAGAAGCACCGGCUAACUCCGUGCCAGCAGCCGCGGUAAUACGAGGGUGCAAGCGUUAAUCGGAAUUACUGGGCGUAAAGCGCGCGUAGGCGGCUAGAUCAGUCGGGUGUGAAAGCCCCGGGCUUAACCUGGGAACUGCAUCCGAUACUGUCUAGCUUGAGUACAGGAGGGGAGAGUGGAAUUCCACAUGUAGCGGUGAAAUGCGUAGAUAUGUGGAGGAACACCAAUGGCGAAGGCAGCUCUCUGGCCUGAUACUGACGCUGAGGUGCGAAAGCGUGGGGAGCAAACAGGAUUAGAUACCCGGGUAGUC